This 254-nucleotide ribosomal RNA is filed under the name uncultured bacterium. RNAcentral describes it as "partial 16S ribosomal RNA". It matches the Rfam family "Bacterial small subunit ribosomal RNA", at positions 524 to 776 of the family's 1533-position model. The record is from RNAcentral.
CACGUAGGGGGCAAGCGUUGUCCGGAUUUAUUGGGCGUAAAGAGCUCGUAGGCGGUUCGGUAAGUCGGGUGUGAAACCUCCAGGCUCAACCUGGAGACGCCACCCGAUACUGCUGUGACUCGAGUCCGGUAGGGGAGCGUGGAAUUCCUGGUGUAGCGGUGAAAUGCGCAGAUAUCAGGAGGAACACCAGCGGCGAAGGCGGCGUUCUGGACUGCAACUGACACUGAGAGACGAAAGCCAGGGGAGCAAACGGG